GUUAAAACUUUUCUGUCAUUCCAUGUGAUAGCUGAUGUCGUGUUCAUGGUCUGUUGCUGAAUAAACCCAAUUAAUUCAUCUUUAAUGGCAAUUGAAAAGCCAGUUUGUUCAAGAUUUUCGCCUGACCAAAUUAUUACCACUCCAACGAAGACAAUACUGAGACAUGCUAAAUUUACACAAGCUUCGACCGUCCCAGGAAAUUCAGGACAUAGGAAGGUGGUUAAAAUAAUUCAAUACCUAAUAAUAUUCAAUUGAGUUGAGGACAAUAAUAUGAAAGAGGAUUAGUUUCCCCGCCAUCCAAGGGUAUCGGCCAAAUUGGGACCUGAACUACGAUCUUUUCUCCAUUGGAUUUAUGGGCUCCUGUGUUUGUAUUAAAUAUGUGACUUCAAUUCACAAUGAAAAUACAAAUCCUUUGCGUGCA
Long non-coding RNA from Photinus pyralis (common eastern firefly), 421 nucleotides. RefSeq lists it as uncharacterized. NCBI's taxonomy places the organism in Eukaryota, Metazoa, Arthropoda, Insecta, Coleoptera, Lampyridae. The transcript is spliced from 3 exons. The record is from RefSeq and is a predicted model, not a curated record.